UACGGAAGGGGCAAGCGUUGUCCGGAAUUAUUGGGCGUAAAGAGCUCGUAGGCGGUUUGUUGCGUCGGCUGUGAAAUCCCGAGGCUCAACCUCGGGUCUGCAGUCGAUACGAGCAAACUAGAGUGUUGCAGGGGAGACUGGAAUUCCUGGUGUAGCGGUGAAAUGCGCAGAUAUCAGGAGGAACACCGGUGGCGAAGGCGGGUCUCUGGGCAACAACUGACGCUGAGGAGCGAAAGCGUGGGGAGCGAACAGG
RNAcentral lists this ribosomal RNA (253 nucleotides) under uncultured bacterium. RNAcentral describes it as "partial 16S ribosomal RNA". It matches the Rfam family "Bacterial small subunit ribosomal RNA", at positions 524 to 776 of the family's 1533-position model. The record is from RNAcentral.